UUCUCAGCUGCACAGAGCUGCUGAAAUAACGUGAUAAACAUAUAUCAGGGCCGCUAAUUACAUUUAAUAACACCAUUGACAAAUAGCAACAAUGUGUCAAGAGAGUUCCGCACAAAAGCGGUGAAAGGAAGAGAGUCUUUAAUUCUGAUUCAUUCUGAUCAACAGAUUCAUUAAAUGCUCCCCGUCCAGCAGCCUCCGGUACUCAGCGAUCUCCAGCUCCAGCCUCAUCUUGAUGUCCAGCAGCAUCUGGUACUCGACCUGCUGCUGCUCGAUGGACACUCGCAGCUGCUGCAGCUCGAUCUCCAUCGUGUUGAUGGUCAUCUGCAGCUGGCUGAGCUGAACGCUGUAUCGACUGUUCACUUCUUCCAUAUUCUUCUGCAGACACUGGAUCUGCAGGGCAAACGGGAAGGAUGUUAGGAAAGCUGUGAAGUGUGAUCCGAGUAAAGAAUUGCCCCAACUUGAAGUGAUGAAGUGACAGUUUCAUUUGGUAUCUGCACAUUACUCAUUUAAAGCACUGCCCAAUCAAAUGCAUACGCAUGUUGUAACAUUCUGUUGGUGAGUAUUACAAUCCAUUGUGCAGUGUUUGGGAGUGUGAUGAGCCUUUAAACACGUAAUCUGUCACUCCAACUGGACUCCCUGGAUCAUAUGUUAUUGUUGGUACAUUUUCAACAGCGUGUCACCACCAACACAACACAAAGACUUUGUUUUUCAAGUCUCAAGUCCUAAACUUUGAGUUUCGAGUCCUAAACAAGUCAUAAUGCGCUUUGCACCAAUUUCAACCCGCACGUUUUUGUAUACUGCAAUUCCUUUUUUUGUUAACGACCGCAUUUCUGUACGUAAACAAAGUUUUGGAUGCUUUCAGCUCAAACAAAGUGGAUUUAGGGAAUUUAGUGUCGACUGUGAAUGAAUAGAGUUAACGUUAGCUCAUUCAGGAAAUAAAAGGAUAUUAAUUCGUCAGUGGAACACUUUUUAAAUAACACUUUGGGCCUGGUGGAAGGCAUCAAGUAUUUUCACGUCCAAGUGAAGUCACGAGUAAUUUUGUCAAGUAGUCUACAUUUGUGACUUGAGUCUGAUUCGACUCCAAGUCAUGUGACUUGAGACCACCCCUCUGAUCUAACACAGGACUGUCUGAAUCCCCACUACGCCAGCAUUUAACUCUCUUCAGAUCAACUUUGGUAAAUAGUUUUGCACAGUCACUUUAGUGUAAGUGCACUCGCAAAGCAUCUUGUAAAGCCCAUUAUGAACAGGAGGAAUAAUUACAGCAAGUAGAAAUGGCACCAUGUACAUAUGGGCAUGUGAGCGUUCUUUUAAGACAGACUUGAAAAGAAUGUGAACCUGCCCUUUAAUGUAAGAAUGAUCAGCUAACCCUGCACAGUGAAAGUGUCAGUUCAGCGAUGGCCUACCUCUGCCUGCACGCUGUCCCGACUGAUCUCCAAACUCUGUUUGGAACCAUUUCUCGAGCUCCUGAUUGUUCUUCACCACCACGGACUCAUACUGCUCCCUCAUCUCCUGCAGCACCAGCUCCAUAUUCACAGACUGUGGACUGUCCACCUCCACAUUAAUGUCGCCAGUCUGCUGGAUCCUCAUCCGAUGCAACUCCUGCAACAUGGACACAUUUUUACCUCCUGCCCUUCUACAGACUUUCUAUCUGCAACUCCAUGUCACUGAUGCCGAGGGUCAGGUUGUCCCGGACCCCUCGGAGACGCAUCACGUCGGACUCCACCAUCAUAUGAAGGUUCAGCUCCAUCUCAUACCUGCAGAAGG
Molecule: long non-coding RNA, 1764 nt
Organism: Cottoperca gobio
Lineage: Eukaryota; Metazoa; Chordata; Actinopteri; Perciformes; Bovichtidae
Exons: 4
Source: RefSeq, a predicted model, not a curated record